UAAGCGCCAGGACUACUUACAGGUCGGCAGGUAAGUAGUUGACGAGGGGAAGGUUCAUCGAAAUUUUCGGCGGAUACCUUCAGGUUGUCCAUCGCAACCAUGGAGUCUUACUGAAAAGGCUGAGGUGACUCGGCUCACAAAGAGUAAGGU
Molecule: non-coding RNA, 150 nt
Filed under: Rubeoparvulum massiliense
Lineage: Bacteria; Bacillati; Bacillota; Bacilli; Caryophanales; Bacillaceae
Description: glmS glucosamine-6-phosphate activated ribozyme
Rfam family: glmS glucosamine-6-phosphate activated ribozyme aptamer
About the family: This entry contains a glucosamine-6-phosphate activated ribozyme that is found in the mRNA for GlmS. GlmS is an enzyme that uses fructose-6-phosphate and glutamine to generate glucosamine-6-phosphate.
Source: RNAcentral